Molecule: long non-coding RNA, 574 nt
Filed under: Salmo salar (Atlantic salmon)
Lineage: Eukaryota; Metazoa; Chordata; Actinopteri; Salmoniformes; Salmonidae
Description: lncRNA (ENSSSAG00000117430.1)
Source: RNAcentral
AGAUUUGUUUAACACGGUUCAUGAUAUGAUAUGAUAUGAUCCUUUCAAACAUUGGGUAAAUGUCCUAAAGUAGACACCGUAGAAAAUGACAAGCCUGCCCAUCUAUGCUCACCGCAUCUUUAUGACGUUGACAGUAGUCGUCUAACGCAAGGCUUGUAUUUGAAGGGUCAUUGGUUUGCUUUUUUUGAGGUCCAGACAGAUCCAUGGGGAGCCAAAAGGCCACUAGAAGGGUUUGGUCACAUCUCAAGGGCUGUGGCGGUCAUGACAUUUUGUCAGACAGUUAUUGUCAUGCAAAAGACCGCCAGUCUCACGGGUCUGUUGACAGCCCCUCUCUCUGUGCGCUGGAGAAAGGAAUGAAGGAGAGCGAGGAGGAGAUGGAAACGCAUGGUGGUGAGUUUCAACCUGUCGUUGAACUUCUUUCUUCAAAUUGAUCGAUCGCAGUGAGAGCAGGCGGCUCGGAGCAGUUCGGAGCUCUGGCAUGAGACAACGUGUCUCUAUCGUGACACACCGACGUUCAAGGGAACCAACAACAACAAAAAAUUUACAAAUAAAUAAAAGAAGCCUCUGCUUUGGG